Molecule: ribosomal RNA, 470 nt
Filed under: uncultured bacterium
Lineage: Bacteria
Description: partial 16S ribosomal RNA
Rfam family: Bacterial small subunit ribosomal RNA
Source: RNAcentral
GACGAACGCUGGCGGCGUGCCUAACACAUGCAAGUCGAGCGAGAGACUUCGGUCUCUAGCGGCGGACGGGUGAGUAACACGUGGGUAACCUGCCUCAUAGAGGGGGAUAGCCUCCCGAAAGGGAGAUUAAUACCGCAUAAUAUGUCUUGAUCGCAUGAUCAAGACAUUAAAGGAGAAAUCCGCUGUGAGAUGGACCCGCGGCGCAUUAGCUAGUUGGAGAGGUAAAGGCUCACCAAGGCGACGAUGCGUAGCCGACCUGAGAGGGUGAUCGGCCACAUUGGAACUAAGACACGGUCCAGACUCCUACGGGAGGCAGCAGUGGGGAAUAUUGCACAAUGGGGGAAACCCUGAUGCAGCAACGCCGCGUGAGUGAAGAAGGCCUUCGGGUUGUAAAGCUCUGUCAUUGGGGACGAUAAUGACGGUACCCAAUGAGGAAGCCACGGCUAACUACGCGCCAGCAGCCGCCGUAA